CUCAGGAGGGUGAUUCCUUUUGGGACCAUCUCUCAGGACCGGUCACAGCUUCCUCGGUCAGAGCUACUGACCCCACCCCAGCUGUAAUAACUGGCGUCCAAACAGCCAUUGGACCCCGGACCUUGGAUUCCUGGCCUGAGCUGCGUCUUGACCACGCCAAGACAGAACCAGCUGUUCGUGUGCUGAUCCUCUGAAAAAAGGACCUACGUUUAAGCAUGGCCUUUUGGAGGGGGACAGUUCGAGACACUCGCUUCUCUCACCUGGGGAAGAAACCCCUGAGGAUCGAACUGGCCGGACCAUCCCCCCAGCAGACUGUUUUUGGACUUCAACAGGAGCCAGCCCCAGCAGAAGACGGAAUUUCCUCCCCUUCGCUGGAGUACAAACCAACAAUAAAGCUACUUUGUGUGGAACCAGCUA
Molecule: long non-coding RNA, 417 nt
Organism: Corvus hawaiiensis (hawaiian crow)
Lineage: Eukaryota; Metazoa; Chordata; Aves; Passeriformes; Corvidae
Exons: 2
Source: RefSeq, a predicted model, not a curated record